RNAcentral lists this ribosomal RNA (406 nucleotides) under uncultured bacterium. RNAcentral's name for it is "partial 16S ribosomal RNA". It matches the Rfam family "Bacterial small subunit ribosomal RNA", at positions 30 to 526 of the family's 1533-position model. The record is from RNAcentral.
AUUGAACGCUGGCGGCAGGCCUAACACAUGCAAGUCGAACGAGUGGCGGACGGGUGAGUAAUGUCUGGGAAACUGCCUGAUGGAGGGGGAUAACUACGGGAAACGGUAGCUAAUACCGCAUACAAUCGGGUGUGCCCAGAGGGGAUUAGCUAGUAGGUGGGGUAACGGCUCACCUAGGAGACGAUCCCUAGCUGGUCUGAGAGGAUGACCAGCGAGACUGGAACUGACACACGGUCCAGACUCCUCAUGGAGCCAGCAGUGGGGAGUAGUGAACAAUUGGCUCAAGCCUGAUGCAGCCACGCCGGGUGUAUGGAGAAUGCCUUCGGUGUGUAAAGUACUUUCAUCGAUGAGGCGUUACCCGCAGAAUAAGCACCGGCUAACUCCGUGCCAGCCGCCGCGGUAAUAC